GACGAACGCUGGCGGCGUGCUUAACACAUGCAAGUCGAGCGAUGAAACACCUUCGGGUGCGGAUUAGCGGCGAACGGGCGAGGAACACGUGAGGAAUCUGCCUUCAACUCUGGGAUAACUACGGGAACCCGGGGCUACUACCGGAUACUUUCACCUCGCGGCCUCACCCAUUGUAGACAGUCUUUCGGUGGAAGAUGACCGCGCGGCCUAUCAGCUGGUUGGUGAGGUAAAGGCCCACCAAGGCGACGACGGGUAGCCGGGCUGAGAGGGCGACCGGCCACACUGGGACUGAGACACGGCGCAGACUCCUACGGGAGGCAGCAGUGGGGAAUAUUGGGCAAUGGAGGAAACUCUGACCCAGCGACGCCGCGGGAGGGAUGAAGGCCUUCGGGUGGGAAACCUCUUUCAGCAGGGAAUAAGCGAGAGUGAAGGUACCUGCAGAAGAAGCACCGGCUAACUAUGUGCCAGCAGCCGCAGUAA
This 480-nucleotide ribosomal RNA is filed under the name uncultured bacterium. Its description in RNAcentral is "partial 16S ribosomal RNA". It matches the Rfam family "Bacterial small subunit ribosomal RNA", at positions 28 to 523 of the family's 1533-position model. The record is from RNAcentral.